UAAAAGUCGUAACAAGGUUUCCGUAGGUGAACCUGCGGAAGGAUCAUUAAUGAAAUUUAUGACUGGAGUUGUAGCUGGCCCUUUAAAAACGGGCACGUGCACGCUCCCUUCACUAAUCCACACACACCUGUGCACCUUCGCGGGGGUCUUCUUUUCGGAGAAGGCUCGCGUCCCUUUACACACCCUUUGUAUGUCUUAAGAAUGUCUACUCGAUGUAAUAAAACGCAUCUAAUACAACUUUCAACAACGGAUCUCUUGGCUCUCGCAUCGAUGAAGAACGCAGCGAAAUGCGAUAAGUAAUGUGAAUUGCAGAAUUCAGUGAAUCAUCGAAUCUUUGAACGCACCUUGCGCCCUUUGGUAUUCCGAAGGGCACACCUGUUUGAGUGUCGUGAAAUUCUCAACCCUCUUCAUUUUUUAUGAAUGAAGCAGUGGCUUGGACUUGGAGGUUUUUUGCCGGGCCUCACCGCUCGGCUCCUCUCAAAUGCAUUAGUGCGUCUCGUUGCGACGUGCGCCUCGGUGUGAUAAUUAUCUACGCUGUGGUGCGCUUGCUUCUGUGGAGACGCGCUUUCUAACCGUCCGAAAGGACAGCUUUCAUCGAACUUUGACCUCAAAUCAGGUGGGACUACCCGCUGAACUUAAGCAUAUCAAUAAGCGGAGGA
This 659-nucleotide ribosomal RNA is filed under the name uncultured Stereum. RNAcentral describes it as "eukaryotic LSU rRNA". The stretch from base 236 to 389 matches the Rfam family "5.8S ribosomal RNA". The record is from RNAcentral. Lineage: Eukaryota; Fungi; Basidiomycota; Agaricomycetes; Russulales; Stereaceae.